GGUUAAGCGACUAAGCGUACACGGUGGAUGCCCUGGCAGUCAGAGGCGAUGAAGGACGUGCUAAUCUGCGAUAAGCGUCGGUAAGGUGAUAUGAACCGUUAUAACCGGCGA
RNAcentral lists this ribosomal RNA (111 nucleotides) under Escherichia coli. RNAcentral describes it as "partial 23S ribosomal RNA". It matches the Rfam family "Bacterial large subunit ribosomal RNA", at positions 1 to 110 of the family's 2925-position model. Lineage: Bacteria; Pseudomonadati; Pseudomonadota; Gammaproteobacteria; Enterobacterales; Enterobacteriaceae. RNAcentral also lists the same sequence under 1 other name. The record is from RNAcentral.